GCCAGCAGCCAGACCAAUGGCAACCCUGCCUUAGCUGAAUCUCUGAAGCUAAGCAGGUGUGGGCUUGGUUAGUACUGGAUGGGAGACCAACUGGGAACACUGAGUUGCUGCUGGAA
Molecule: ribosomal RNA, 116 nt
Filed under: Gadus morhua (Atlantic cod)
Lineage: Eukaryota; Metazoa; Chordata; Actinopteri; Gadiformes; Gadidae
Source: RNAcentral